CACAUGCUGAGACCUGUGGGUGUUCACUCUGCACAGUGGCUAAACGAAGGGAGGGAGGGCAGUGUACCCGCAAUCAUCAUUCCAGAGCUCAUGCUGUGUCAGGGCCAGAUGCCUGCUGCUGCCACAGCUGUAUUUCAGGAAGCCCAGCCUGUGAGGAUGCCGUCCCCCCUCCGCAGGAAGACGUCAGACAGGACACUUUCCAUCACCCUGCUUCCUGAUUCCAGGCAUCGAUGCUGAGCUGGACAGAAGGAAAACAGCCUUUUGGUGUCUGAGACAACAGCACAAAUGACAGGACUGGCCUUCUUUCCUGAAUGGGAAGAGGGUGGGGAGAAGAAUGCUGCAGUGACCCGAGCUUGUUGAUGCCCUGCCACAGGCACCCCAGGUGGCCUUGGGCAAGUCCCUUCUCUUGCCUCUCCACCUGUAAAGUUUACAGGAGAGCAGCCCAUCUGGGGCUUGAAGGCGGGGAAGUGGCUUCGGAUUCCAACAUACCCCUAUCAGCAUUUGAAGAAAUGACUGGGAUACUGGACCUGUUUCGGCUGAGAAGGAACCACAGAGAUCCAGAUAAAUCCCCAUCUGAGGAGGCACAGAAGUUGGUGGGGAUUCUCUUCUGAAGGCUGACAUGAUCAUUACAAG
This 633-nucleotide long non-coding RNA is filed under the name Homo sapiens (human). RNAcentral describes it as "LHRI_LNC2126.1". Lineage: Eukaryota; Metazoa; Chordata; Mammalia; Primates; Hominidae. The record is from RNAcentral.